Molecule: ribosomal RNA, 402 nt
Filed under: Bacteroidota bacterium
Lineage: Bacteria; Pseudomonadati; Bacteroidota
Description: Bacteroidetes bacterium partial 16S ribosomal RNA
Rfam family: Bacterial small subunit ribosomal RNA
Source: RNAcentral
UGGGGAAUUUUGCACAAUGGGGGAAACCCUGAUGCAGCGACGCCGCGUGAUUUAGAAGGCCUUCGGGUUGUAAAAAUCUUUUCUAUGGGAAGAAAAUGACAGUACCAUAGGAAUAAGGACCGGCUAAUUACGUGCCAGCAGCCGCGGUAAUACGUAAGGUCCGAGCGUUGUCCGGAAUCAUUGGGCGUAAAGGGUACGUAGGCGGGUAAGCAAGUUAGAAGUGAAAUCCUGUAGCUCAACUACAGUAAGCUUUUAAAACUGCUCAUCUUGAGAUAUGGAAGGGAAAGUGGAAUUCCUAGUGUAGCGGUGAAAUGCGCAGCUAUUAGGAGGAAUACCGGUGGCGAAGGCGACUUUCUGGCCAUAAUCUGACGCUGAGGUACGAAAGCGUGGGUAGCAAACAGG